CACAUGGAAAAUAAGCGAGGCCUGGGGGCAACCCCAGAGUCGAGCGGCUUAUGGCUGAGUAACGCGAGGAAGACCUGCCCUUUAGUGGGGAACAACCAGGGGAAACUCUGGCUGAUACCGCAUAAGACCGAGAGGUGAAAGGGGGCUCGCAAGGGCUCUCGCUGAAGGAGGGGUCCGCGUCCGAUUAGCUAGUUGGUAGGGUAAAGGCCUACCAAGUCUGCGAUCGGUAGCACGACUGAGAGGUUGAUCGGCCACAUUGGGACUGAGAUGCGGCCCAGACUCCUACGGGAGGCAGCAGUGGG
This 302-nucleotide small RNA is filed under the name uncultured bacterium. RNAcentral describes it as "bacterial SSU rRNA". It matches the Rfam family "Bacterial small subunit ribosomal RNA", at positions 52 to 358 of the family's 1533-position model. The record is from RNAcentral.